This 273-nucleotide ribosomal RNA is filed under the name uncultured prokaryote. Its description in RNAcentral is "partial 16S ribosomal RNA". It matches the Rfam family "Bacterial small subunit ribosomal RNA", at positions 524 to 796 of the family's 1533-position model. The record is from RNAcentral.
UACGGGGGGAACGAGCGUUGUUCGGAUUUACUGGGCGUAAAGGGCACGCAGGCGGGGAUGCAAGUCAGAUGUGAAAACCCGAAGCUUAACUCCGGGCCGGCAUUUGAUACUGCAUCUCUUGAGUACGGGAGAGGAUGAUAGAAUUCUUGGUGUAGCGGUGAAAUGCGUAGAUAUCAAGAGGAAUACCGGUGGCGAAGGCGGUCAUCUGGCCCGAUACUGACGCUCAGGUGCGAAGGCCGGGGGAGCAAACAGGAUUAGAAACCCUUGUAGUCC